CAGGACGAACGCUGGACGGCACGCUUAACACAUGCAAGUCGAACGGAGUUAAUUUGGUUUACUGAGAUUAACUAGUGGCGGACGGGUGAGUAACACGUGAGCAACCUGCCUCUGAGAAGGGGAUAGCUUCUGGAAACGGAUGGUAAUACCCUGUAACAUAUCGAAACCGCAUGAUUUUGAUAUCAAAGAUUUAUCGGCUCAGAGAUGGGCUCGCGUCUGAUUAGAUAGUUGGUGAGGUAACGGCUCACCCAAGUCGACGAUCAGUAGCCGGACUGAGAGGUUGAACGGCCACAUUGGGACUGAGACACGGCCCAGACUCCUACGGGAGGCAGCAGUGGGGAAUAUUGCACAAUGGGGGGAACCCUGAUGCAGCGAUGCCGCGUGGAGGAAGAAGGUUUUCGGAUUGUAAACUCCUGUCUUAAAGGACGAUAAUGACGGUACUUUAGGAGGAAGCUCCGGCUAACUACGUGCCAGCCGCCGC
This 481-nucleotide ribosomal RNA is filed under the name uncultured bacterium. RNAcentral describes it as "bacterial SSU rRNA". It matches the Rfam family "Bacterial small subunit ribosomal RNA", at positions 25 to 518 of the family's 1533-position model. The record is from RNAcentral.